UAAGGAAUCUUCCGCAAUGGGCGCAAGCCUGACGGAGCGACGCCGCGUGGAUGAAGAAGCCUUUCGGGGUGUAAAAUCCUUUUCUCGGAGAUGAGAGGGACAGUAUCCGAGGAAGAAGCCUCGGCUAACUACGUG
Molecule: ribosomal RNA, 135 nt
Filed under: uncultured bacterium
Lineage: Bacteria
Description: partial 16S rRNA
Rfam family: Bacterial small subunit ribosomal RNA
Source: RNAcentral